Long non-coding RNA from Amblyraja radiata (thorny skate), 67 nucleotides. RefSeq lists it as uncharacterized. NCBI's taxonomy places the organism in Eukaryota, Metazoa, Chordata, Chondrichthyes, Rajiformes, Rajidae. The transcript has 3 exons. The record is from RefSeq and is a predicted model, not a curated record.
UGCACUGACAUUUAAUGUAUGAAUCAUUGUAGUUUAAACAUAUGAAUGAAAUGAAAUACCAGAGCAA